RNAcentral lists this ribosomal RNA (256 nucleotides) under uncultured Anaerococcus sp. Its description in RNAcentral is "partial 16S ribosomal RNA". It matches the Rfam family "Bacterial small subunit ribosomal RNA", at positions 100 to 354 of the family's 1533-position model. The record is from RNAcentral. Lineage: Bacteria; Bacillati; Bacillota; Tissierellia; Tissierellales; Peptoniphilaceae.
CGACGGGUGAGUAACGCGUGAGUAACCUGCCUUACACAAGGGGAUAGCCGUUGGAAACGACGAAUAAUACCCUAUGACAUAAACUCUUCGCAUGAGGAGCUUAUCAAAGAUUUAUCGGUGUAAGAUGGACUCGCGUCUGAUUAGCUAGUUGGUGAGGUAACGGCCCACCAAGGCGACGAUCAGUAGCCGGCUUGAGAGAGUGUACGGCCACAUUGGGACUGAGACACGGCCCAGACUCCUACGGGAGGCAGCAGGU